Molecule: ribosomal RNA, 569 nt
Filed under: uncultured bacterium
Lineage: Bacteria
Description: partial 16S ribosomal RNA
Rfam family: Bacterial small subunit ribosomal RNA
Source: RNAcentral
UGGGGAAUUUUGGACAAUGGGCGAAAGCCUGAUCCAGCAAUGCCGCGUGUGUGAAGAAGGCCUUCGGGUUGUAAAGCACUUUUGUCCGGAAAGAAAUCCUUGGCUCUAAUACAGUCGGGGGAUGACGGUACCGGAAGAAUAAGCACCGGCUAACUACGUGCCAGCAGCCGCGGUAAUACGUAGGGUGCAAGCGUUAAUCGGAAUUACUGGGCGUAAAGCGUGCGCAGGCGGUUUGCUAAGACCGAUGUGAAAUCCCCGGGCUCAACCUGGGAACUGCAUUGGUGACUGGCAGGCUAGAGUAUGGCAGAGGGGGGUAGAAUUCCACGUGUAGCAGUGAAAUGCGUAGAGAUGUGGAGGAAUACCGAUGGCGAAGGCAGCCCCCUGGGCCAAUACUGACGCUCAUGCACGAAAGCGUGGGGAGCAAACAGGAUUAGAUACCCUGGUAGUCCACGCCCUAAACGAUGUCAACUAGUUGUUGGGGAUUCAUUUCCUUAGUAACGUAGCUAACGCGUGAAGUUGACCGCCUGGGGAGUACGGUCGCAAGAUUAAAACUCAAAGGAAUUGACGGG